UAACCUGCCCAAGAGAUCGGGAUAACACCUGGAAACAGAUGCUAAUACCGGAUAACAACAGAUGAUGCCUAUCAACUGUUUAAAAGAUGGUUCUGCUAUCACUCUUGGAUGGACCUGCGGUGCAUUAGCUAGUUGGUAGGGUAACGGUCUACCAAGGCGAUGAUGCAUAGCCGAGUUGAGAGACUGAUCGGCCACAUUGGGACUGAGACACGGCCCAAACUCCUACGGGAGGCAGCAGUG
RNAcentral lists this ribosomal RNA (240 nucleotides) under uncultured Lactobacillus sp. RNAcentral's name for it is "partial 16S ribosomal RNA". It matches the Rfam family "Bacterial small subunit ribosomal RNA", at positions 122 to 356 of the family's 1533-position model. Lineage: Bacteria; Bacillati; Bacillota; Bacilli; Lactobacillales; Lactobacillaceae. The record is from RNAcentral.